This 430-nucleotide unclassified non-coding RNA is filed under the name soil metagenome. RNAcentral describes it as "partial contains 5.8S ribosomal RNA, internal transcribed spacer 2, and large subunit ribosomal RNA". The stretch from base 1 to 120 matches the Rfam family "5.8S ribosomal RNA", at positions 35 to 154 of the family's 154-position model. The record is from RNAcentral.
GAUGAAGAACGUAGCGAAAUGCGAUACGUAAUGUGAAUUGCAGAAUUCAGUGAAUCAUCGAAUCUUUGAACGCAUAUUGCGCUCUCUGGUAUUCCGGAGAGCAUGCUUGUUUGAGUAUCAGUAAACACCUCAACUCCCUUUUCUUUUUUGAAAUUGGAGCUGGACUUGAGUGAUCCCAACGCUUUCUUCCAAGAAUGUGGCGGGUUGCUUGAAAUGCAGGUGCAGCUGAACUUUUCUCUGAGCUAUAAGCAUAUCUAUUUAGUCUGCCUAAAAAACAGAUUAUUACCUUUGCUGCAGCUAACAUAAAGGAGACUAGUUCUUGUGCUGACUGAUGCAGGAUUCACAGAGACAGCUUCGGCUGACUUUGUAAACUCGAUCUCAAAUCAAGUAAGACUACCCGCUGAACUUAAGCAUAUCAAUAAGCGGAGGA